This 344-nucleotide ribosomal RNA is filed under the name uncultured fungus. RNAcentral's name for it is "SSU rRNA". It matches the Rfam family "Eukaryotic small subunit ribosomal RNA", at positions 292 to 636 of the family's 1831-position model. Lineage: Eukaryota; Fungi. The record is from RNAcentral.
GGUUCAUUCAAAUUUCUGCCCUAUCAACUUUCGAUGGUAGGAUAGUGGCCUACCAUGGUAUCAACGGGUAACGGGGAAUUAGGGUUCUAUUCCGGAGAGGGAGCCUGAGAAACGGCUACCACAUCCAAGGAAGGCAGCAGGCGCGCAAAUUACCCAAUCCCGACCGGGGAGGUAGUGACAAUAAAUACUGAUACAGGGCUCUUUUGGGUCUUGUAAUUGGAAUGAGUACAAUUUAAAUACCUUAACGGGGAACAAUUGGAGGGCAAGUCUGGUGCCAGCAGCCGCGGUAAUUCCAGCUCCAAUAGCGUAUAUUAAAGUUGUUGAGGUUAAAAAGCUCGUAGUUG